RNAcentral lists this long non-coding RNA (480 nucleotides) under Ornithorhynchus anatinus (platypus). RNAcentral describes it as "lncRNA (ENSOANG00000042333.1)". The record is from RNAcentral. Lineage: Eukaryota; Metazoa; Chordata; Mammalia; Monotremata; Ornithorhynchidae.
GUGACCUUGGGCAAAUCACUUAACUUCUCUGGGCCUCAGUUACCUCAUCUGUAAAGCCUCCACUGUGGGGCCGGUGGCUCCGGUGGAUAGGGACCACCCCCCUUUCUCUCUGUGGCAGGGAAGAUCCAGCCCAACCGAACAGUAACUUCAAGGCUCCCAGCUCCUUUCCGCCCAAAGAUCUCAGGACACCUGCCCGUUGAGGAUCUCGUAAACCACGACCUGCUCGGCGUGCCAUCCGAGAGUCUCAUGACUGUGCACAGAGCUGCAAACAGGCUUUUUGACCUCCGUUCAGGUGAGGAUGGGACUCCCAGCUGGGAACAUCUGGGCAAGACGGCUUUCAGCCACACCCACUCAGAGAGUCACCAGAGGAGUGGGAUCUGCCUGAUUCAGUUAGGUCUAACAAAGCCGUCAUCGUCCGUAAUUAAACAGGAAUGAACCUAACACCAGGACUGAGAUUGCCAAGAUGGGUGAGUUUGAAAU